This is a long non-coding RNA of Macadamia integrifolia, 7730 nucleotides long. RefSeq lists it as uncharacterized. NCBI's taxonomy places the organism in Eukaryota, Viridiplantae, Streptophyta, Magnoliopsida, Proteales, Proteaceae. The transcript has 2 exons. The record is from RefSeq and is a predicted model, not a curated record.
GCAUGACUUUGGAGAUGAAGUCACAUCUGAUAGAGUUAAAAGCCUUGUGAAUGCCAAUUCUGAGGAGAGCGGUUGGGGAAUGAGAUUUCUUGUCAAAACCACGGACAAUCUUGUGGCAAAGAAUGAUAUUAUCAGAUAUGUUGCGGCCAGAGAUGAAGGCGAACUGGUGGGCAUCGACAAGCGAAUUGAUGACAACCUAGAUGCGGUUGGCUAGGAUUUUGGCAAUGAACUUAUAGAGGAGAUUGCACAGGGAGAUGAGCUAGAAGUUAGACAAGGAGAAUGCAACUUCCUUUCUUGGGGAUGAGACAGAGGAAGGUAUGAUUGAUGUGGCUAACUUGGGAGAGGUUGAAACAUAAGCUCUUAAGGGCUUUGAUAAUGUGGAUCGAUCUACGACUUCAUAGAAUCGGAUUUAUUUUUCCAUUUUCAAAUUACUUUUUUAUAUUUUUUAUUUCAAAGUAAUUUUUUUUAGAUAUUUUAUUAUAUUAAAUGUUUUUUUUUCUAUUUGUAAUGCAUAUUGUAGUUGUUUUCAUUGAAUUUUAUGUGUUCUAGUACUAAAUUAUCUGUAGCAUAGGCUUUAUUUGAGAAAGUAUAUGUUAAAGUGUCUAGGUUCGAUGUAUCUAGAACUGUGACUCAUCCUUAUACUAGUUGUAACCCUAAUCUCUCAUUAUAAGUAAAGGUGGACUUUGUCAUAUUAGACAAGCUAAAUUGUUCUCUCAUUCUUUCAUUUCAACUUGGUAUCAAAGCCAAAAAAAUCCCUAAAUAUUUAUUCUACCGCCCCACUAGGAGGGUUCCCACCUUCCGCGUUUGAUGCUUCAGCCUCCCUUGGUCAACCAUGGUCGACUAAACCAUGCCCCAUGACUAACCACCUAACCUUACUACAUGAGCCAUUGCUACCUUUCCACCACUUGCCGCUAUCCCUAGCAUCUCCCACUUACGCCGCCACUACGCCCCUUGUAGUUUUUGCCUUUUGUGGCCCUGCUGCCUUGUGCCGCCCCUUGCGGCCCUAUUGCCUUGCACCCCCCUGCAACCUUUGUUGCCUACGUCCCCCCUGCCACCGCUGCUAUCGUCAUCGCCCCCUACAGCCAUCAUUGCAUAUGUUGCCCCUUGUAGCCCUCGCUGCUGGUGCCGCUCUCUGCAGUCCUCUUUGUUCCUUGCAGUGCUGUAAUCGCCUCCUGUCCUUAUGAUCUGUUGAUUGCUAUGUGCUCUGGUAUGCAGUAGUUACCUACCUGAUCCAUCUUCAUCAUUUCACACCCAUCUUUGUUGACCUCUUCUCCGACUCUUUGGCUGAGGGUGACAAAACAAGCUCCAUGUUCAACUCUGGGAGUGGUGAGGCACCUUGUGUUGGGGUUUCUGUCCAUCACCCCUCUCCAACUUGGUCCAACAAAGCUGAUUGGGUCUAAUUAUCUACUCUGGUGUCGCACACAUGCCUACUGACCAUAAUGGGUAAUCAAUUUUUGGGAUAUUUGAUUGAUGUCAUGCCUUGGCCUCUUGAUGGUCCUUCUGGUCCAUGAUGUGUUGGUUAUGUAUUUUCUUCUCAAUUCUAUGGAGUCCAUCUUAUGCUCUAGCUUUGUUUUGAUGAACUUUGCCCAAAAACUCUAGGAGGUUUUCAUUAGACAUAUGCUUAGACUAGCAACUAUGCAUAGAUUUAUGAACUUCAUCACCACUCACAAGGUCUGUGAGAUGUCUCAGAAAAAUCUCGCUUUGUCUGCCUACUGCCACCUUGAACUCUCAGUGGCAGCAUUUUGAUUUUUAUCACCCUGUUCCAAUGGUUUGUGCACCGGAUGCUAAAGCUUUCCAAAAGGAUCAGGAAAUGAAGUGUCUAUGAAUUUCUUAUUGGCCUCAAUCUGGCAUGCGAUCCAUGUCUAGAUCCUUGGUCGUGAUACGUUUCCUAUUUUACCAUAGGCCUAUAAUCUGUUGCAGCAUGAGGAGCUCUGUCGUUUUGUUAUGAUGCCAAAUGUGGCUCCUCCACACUUUGCUUUAGUCUCUACUCCUGAUAAUAUUGACUCCUAUAGAUCUACGCAUCCACAAGAGAACCAGUGCCCCCGGUCCCCUGUGGCAAUAUCAUUUGGUUUAAGGGCCACAUUCCCGGCCAUAGUUUCAUUGCUUGGUGUGCAAUAUCCAAUUGCCUUCCUACCCAGUCCUUCUGGAUUUCCCGACACAUUCAGGUUCAGUCCUCCUGUUGCCUUUACUGGAAUGACACUAAAAAUGUUGACCAUCUUUUUUCUCCUGCCCUUUCUCCACUUCUGUCUGGAAGAAGGUUCUUAGUCGUUGUUGGCCUAUGAGAAGAAGACUGCUCCCUCAUUAGAGAAUGGGUCUGGGUUGAUAUGACUUAUGCUAGUUCUUCCAUUUGUGACACUACUGGCAAGCUUGCCUUCUGCCAUAAACUAUAUCUGGAUGGAGAGGAAUCUACGUAGAUGGACUUCCAACUCUCAUUCUUUUGACAAGAUUUGGAAUGCCAUCUAUUUUGAAGUCUCCUCUAAGAUUGGAUCUUAGUGCUCCCGCCCUGUCAGAAAUACCCCAAGGAACAAGCUUAUUGUUGUUACUUGGGGUCUCCCCUCCCACCAUCCUAUCCCCCAAUCCCCCCUUUUGUUCUCCUUGGCUCUUCUAGUCUCCUUUUGGUUGGUCGCCUAUGUGCUUAGUUUUGCUCCCCCCUGUAGCUUGUCAGGCUUAUUCCUUCUAGGCUCCCUUCCCCCUUUUCCCCCCCUGCAUAUUCUCUCUUCUCUUGGUAAUGAAUUUAUUUAUUCAUCCAAAAAAAAAAUGUCAAUACUGUGGUAAAUCUUGUCACACUAAGGAGACUCGUUGCAAGCUACAUGGUCAUCCCAAGGGAGAGGGUCAUGGUGGGAAACAAGGGUCUACCCAGCCCCAAGCUCAUCUCUUUGAGACUCCUGAUGGUUCUGUUCUUGGCCAUCCACCUAUAGGCUUGUCUUCAUCUAUGCGUUUCUCCUCGGAUCAACUAUAGGCCCUAUAGUGCACGAUGUUCCACUUGGGGACACCAACCCCUGCACUUGCUACACCUGCUUCCCAUCUUGAUCAUUCGGGUAUUCUCCAUGUUUCUACUUCCUCUGGUCCCUCUUGGCUCAUUUAUUAAGGAGCCUCUGAGCAGAUGUCUAGGAUCAUCAGCCUUGUUUUGUUCCUGCCUCCUGGCUCUGAAAAGGAUGAAGUCUAGGUUGUCGAUGGCUCCUUGUCCUCUAUUUCUGGUAGAGGCUCUGUUCAAUGCUCACCUACUUUUUCUUUAUCUUUCGUUCUUCAUGUUCCAAAUCUGUGUGAUAACCUGCUUUCUACUUACCGUCUUACCGUUGAACUUAAUUGUUGUGUCUCAUUUUAUUUCACCCAUUGCCUUUUUCAGGAUCUAGUGACGGGUGCAACGAUUGGCUAUGGGGGAUGGGCUCCACCAUCUGGAAUCAGCCCCCACUGUUGUGCACGGCCCUCUUUCUGCUCACACUCUACUGGGUGAUAGUGUCCUUCAACAAGUGCACUGAUGGCAUUAGCAUCUUGGUCAUCUUUUAUUAUUUUCAUAGUUAAUAAAACAUUUUAAAUCUUGACACUUUUAUUGCGGAACUUGUGAGCUUGUUAAACACACUAGAACUUCUUAUUCUAUUUCUUUUAAUAAAAGUGACCAUCCUUUUUCUGUUAUUCAUUCUGAUGUGUUGGGUGCAUCUCGUGUGCCACUAGUGAUGGUUUCCAAUGGUUUAUUUCAUUUAUUGAUAAUUGUACCCGCAUAACCUGGGCCUUUCUUCUUCAUCAUAGAUUUGAGGCGUUGCAGUGCUUCCAGUCUUUCCUCACCAUGAUCCGGACCUAGUUUGAUGCCAAAAUUCGGAUCCUAUGAAGUGACAAUGGCACUAAAUAUAUUAAUGCUAGCUUUCACCAAUAUCUUGAUAGUUUGGGGAUAGUGCUUUGGACCUCUUGUGUUCGCACUUUGGAACGGAAUGGUAUUCCUAAGCGGAAGAAUCGUCAUCUUCUGAAUGUCACUUGCUCCCUCAUGUUUACCAUGAAGGUUCCAAAGUCUUAUUGGGGUUAUGCAGUCCUUACAGGUUCCUAUCUCAUUAACGGGGUUCCCUUUAGUGUUCUAGAAUUCAAAACCCCUGUUAGCUAUCUCUAGGACCACUCCCUUGCCUACCAUGUCCACCUCAAGUCUAUGGUUGUGUCUGUUAUGCUUACAGACCUUUGGGCACUCUAAGCUUGAUCCUUGCGCCUUCCGUUGCAUUUUCCAUGCUAUGCCUCUACCCAGAAUGGCUACAAAUGCUAUCAUCCCCCUCUCGAUGGCUCUUUGUUACCAUGGUCUUACUUUCUAGGAGUUUAAGCCCUAUUUUUAGUCAACUCUUGAGGGGGAGAGUGCUAUGUUUGAGCUUCCUUUAAGUUCAUUUGUCGUUGACACUACUCGUCUUGAGGGGAGCAUGUUUGUCUUGAGGAGGAGCCACCUCUCAAGGAAAGUAGUAAAGGGGGCUUACUUACAUAUUCUCGUAGGAAGCAGUAGCUUGCAUGCGACCUGCCACAACAAUCAGUGAUCUUAGAUCCACCUCCUGUGCCUCAGUCAGGUAAUAUAGAUUCUACCAUUGCUACCGAUUCUACUGAUAUUCCCAUUGUUGUUAGGAAAGGAAUUAGGACAUGUACUAAAUAUCGUAUUUUUAACUUUGUUUCCCAUGAAUCCAUGUCUCCGUCCUACUGUGCCUUUGUUUUGACUUUGUCAUCUGUUUCUAUUUUGCGAGGUUGGAAAGAUGUUGGGGCUGAUAUUAAGUGGAAAGAUGCUAUGGUGGAGGAGAUGCAGGCUCUUUGGAAGAAUGGUAAUUGGGAGUUGGAACCUUAUUCCUUCCUUAAAGGGAAAUAAACUUGUGGGGUGUAAUUGGGCCUUUACUGUAAAGACCAAGGCGGAUGGCACCAUUAAGAGGUACAAGGUCAGAUUAGUUGCCAAGGGUUUCACUUAGAACUAUGGCAUCGACUACCAAGAGACCUUUACUCCAGUGGCUAAGAUGAACUAUGUCCGGGCUUUGCUAUCCUAUGGUGCCAACCUCGGGUGGAAUUUCCAACAGUUAGACGUCAAAAAUGCCUUCUUGAAUGAUGAUUUGGAAGAAGUCUAUAUGGACAUAUCAUCCGGUUUUGAGUCUCUAUCCAAUGUCGGGAACGUAUGCCGGUUACAAAAAUCGCUCUAUGGUCUAAAGCAGUCUCCUCGGGCUUGGUUUGGUUGGUUUCUCAAGGCUAUGCUGCAAUUCACUUACAAGCAAAGUCAGGCCGAUCAUACUUUAUUUGUCAGGCGUGAAGGUGGUAAAAUUACUGCUCUCAUAGUUUGUGGAUGAUAUAGUGAUCACAGGGAAUGAUGGUGCUGAAAUUUCCAAGAUCAAGGCUCGACUUGCAACAGAGUUUGAAAUUAAGAAUUUGGGCCCUCUCAAAUAUUUCCUUGGUAUUGAAGUUGCUCGAUUUGACAAGGGAAUUUUCAUCUCACAAAGGAAAUAUGUCUUAGAUCUUCUUAGUGAGAGACAUGGUUGUGUAAACCUACAGACUCUCCCAUUGAGGCUAAUGAUCAUCUUGGCAGUAAUGGUGGAGAUCCAGUUGAUCGAGAAAGGAAAGUGACUCUUGUUCUUGGACAACAACAAUACAAGACUCGAAGCCUUUACUGAUGCUAAUUGGGUAGGCUCUAUUGAUGAUCGUCGGUCUACUUAUGGUUAUUGCACUUUCCUGGGUGGUACCUGGAGGCUGGAGGAGCAAGAAACAAUUUGUGGUCUCAAGGUCCAGUGUUGAGGCUGAGUACCAUGCUAUGGCUCAGGGGGUUUGCGAGCUUAUAUUUGGCUUAGGACUCCUUCUCAAUGAUCUUGGGAUUGUUACUUCUGGUCCUGUGUGGCUCUAUUGUGACAAUAAGGCUGCUAGCAUUAUUGCUCAUAACCCAGUUCAACACGUAUGGACCAAGCAUAUUGAAAUUGACCGGCAUUUCAUCAAGGCGAAGCUGGAACAAGGUUCCAUUUGUAUUCCAUUUGUCACUCAGAGAAUCAGCUAGCUGAUGCAUUCACGAAAGGUUUAUAUUGUAAGGUUUUAUCCUCUACUCUGCAGGUUGCGCAUGCAUGUUAUAUAUGCACCAACUUGAGGGGGAGUAUUAAAGUGUCUAGGUUUGAUGUAUCUAGACCUGUGACUCAUCGUUAUGCUAGCUGUAACCCUAAUCUCUCAUUAUAAAUAAAGGUGGCCUCUGUCAUAUUAGACAAGCCGGAUCAUUCUCUCAUUCUUCUAUUUCAACUGUAUACCACAAGGUACGCUGUUUACUUUCAAACUAGGAUACAACACCAAACUAGCAUUUGGGCUUGUUUUUUAACAAUCUAAAGUUUCCAUUAUGUUUAGGGAUGCUUAAUCAAGGUUUUCCUAAAGUUUCAAACCAAACUAUGGCCAUUUGCCGCCGAAAUGGUCAAAACAAUCCAACCACUGAAAUGAAAUAUUUUGUGGUCAAAACUGAAAUUUUGAACCUUGCUCGGAAUUCCUUUCCUUGAACCAGUACAUGAUGUGGCAAGUUGGGCAUGGCUAGGCCAUAAAAUAUGAUUUGAAGUGGACCCAGCAAGCAUCAUUGGCCCAGUGGAACCCAACAAUUGUUUUUGGUGUUGCUAGACAUUCUAGUAGGUUCUGUACUUCGAGAUUUUCAGAUGACGACAAUAAUGGUAUAUUUUUGGAUUUUAGAGAAUUGGAUAAAAUGGACUUUGAAGAGUUGAUUGCAUGAUAGAAUCACACAUUUAGAUAUGUCUGGUGAUUCUCAGAAUCUUGAGAAUCGUUAUAUACAGCAGGAAACUGACUACAUUAAAGAUGAUGAAAAGAGAUGGAUGGAUCUCUUCUAAACAUGGUUUGGUAGAUUAAGAAGAAAAGAAAGCACUUUGUUGCUCAUUAGCUUCCUUCACAGUCAUGAUUUUGGGCAUUUUGUUUCCUUUUUGUCUCUAUGUUGCUGUUUAUAUGACUAGCUCCUUUUCACUUGGUGAACUGUUACCUUAAUUUAAUAAAUUUCAUUAUUGCCUAAAUAAUAAUAAUAAUAAUGGUAAUAAAAUUAUAAAAUCUCAAUUUGAAGAAUGGGAAACAUAAGAAGAAACUUCAUCAUAACAACAACAACAAAACAAAUUUGUAUAUUCCUGAAGAAUACAAGAAGAUUGUGUCAAGGGUGGGGGCUUAGUUUCUGACUAUGUUUGGGUUUGUUGUAGUCCUUCAUUUUUGCAGUGGAUUUUAUUGUUUUUCUCAUAGUUGGAGAUUUUGAUUUCAACAGUGAUGUAGAUCAAUGGAGAGAUCUGCCCAGAUUUUUGUCUUCAUUAAACCAGCUGUGAAGGCCAUUGAUUAGCACUGAUUUGGGUGAUAACCGACAGCUUUCAUGGGCCCCACAGCCAGCUUGUAGGUGAAGGGCUUGGAGAUAAAUCAGGAAACGAUUCCAGCCUUGCGUAUUGAUUAUUCAUGGGAAAAAUAGGUGAUAUUCCGUAGGGUAUCUUUUGGGAAGAUUAUUUCCCAGAUUUGUGGGACCCUUGGCCGGCUGUGCGGAGAAUAGCCUUGGAGAUCGAAUUGUUACUUGCAUGAAGACUUUCUUUCCAAAGGGAGAUCGAGUUGUCAAAGAGCUUUAUCUACUUCCUAUUUUAUUUCUUUGUAAUAGCUAUUAGUUAGGAUUAGUUUCUAAUUCCAGUUUUCCUAAUUUAGGCAAUAGGAGUUCUAAUUUUAUUUGGUUUCUAUGUUGUAACUGAGAAGGGACUUGAUUUGGAUUGGGCAGCCCAUCUAUGGCUAGCUCA